RNAcentral lists this ribosomal RNA (418 nucleotides) under uncultured bacterium. Its description in RNAcentral is "bacterial SSU rRNA". It matches the Rfam family "Bacterial small subunit ribosomal RNA", at positions 355 to 790 of the family's 1533-position model. The record is from RNAcentral.
UCGGGAAUUUUGGGCAAUGGGCGAAAGCCUGACCCAGCAACGCCGCGUGAAGGAUGAAGUAUUUCGGUAUGUAAACUUCGAAAGAAUAGGAAGAAUAAAUGACGGUACUAUUUAUAAGGUCCGGCUAACUACGUGCCAGCAGCCGCGGUAAUACGUAGGGACCAAGCGUUGUUCGGAUUUACUGGGCGUAAAGGGCGCGUAGGCGGCAUGACAAGUCACUUGUGAAAUCUCUGGGCUUAACCCAGAACGGCCAAGUGAUACUGUCGCGCUAGAGUGCAGAAGGGGCAAUCGGAAUUCUUGGUGUAGCGGUGAAAUGCGUAGAUAUCAAGAGGAACACCUGAGGUGAAGACGGGUUGCUGGGCUGACACUGACGCUGAGGCGCGAAAGCCAGGGGAGCAAACGGGAUUAGAUACCCCUG